RNAcentral lists this small RNA (502 nucleotides) under Pan troglodytes (chimpanzee). RNAcentral describes it as "retained intron". The record is from RNAcentral. Lineage: Eukaryota; Metazoa; Chordata; Mammalia; Primates; Hominidae.
GUUGAGGCGUUUAAACCCGCGUGUCCCGCAGCUCCGGACUCAGGACUUGUCCUAUUUCCGAGAUAUGCCGCGGGCCGAAGGAUACCUGGCGCGGAUCCGGCCGGCUCAGCUCACGCACCGCGGGACGUUCUCCUGCGUGAUCAAGCAAGACCAGCGCCCCCUGGCCCGGCUCUACUUCUUUCUUAACGUGACGGGACCGCCCCCGCGGGCGGAGACAGAGUUGCAGGCCUCGUUCCGGGAAGUGCUGCGCUGGGCGCCGCGGGAUGCCGAGCUGAUCGAGCCCUGGAGGCCCAGCCUGGGCGAGCUGCUGGCCAGGCCCGAGGCUCUGACGCCCAGCAACCUGUUCCUGAUUGCAGUCCUCGGGGCCCUCGCAUCAGCGAGUGCGACAGUGUUGGCGUGGAUGUUCUUUCGAUGGUACUGCAGUGGCAACUAACAAAGGUAUCUCUUUCCUCCUUCCCUAUCCUAUUUCCAUCCUGAAAAUAAAGAAUAUAUUUCAACUCUA